RNAcentral lists this non-coding RNA (27 nucleotides) under Mus musculus (house mouse). The record is from RNAcentral. Lineage: Eukaryota; Metazoa; Chordata; Mammalia; Rodentia; Muridae.
UGGCAAAGAAAAGGUUUCCACAUACUU